UUGAUUGAGCGAGUCUUGUUCUCUGAUCCUGACGACCUACUCUGCUCCAGAUUGGAAGGAAUGCGGCACCCUCACCUUUACACACCGUUAGACCUGCACCUUCCAAACUUCGUUCCUCUGUGAUUGUCACAAGGGGAAAUCAUCGUGCCCUACCUGGGAACCUCCAUCUUUAUCGUCUUUGCCAUCUGGUUCAUCUCUGGAAGAUGUGGAGGCAAGCUGUCCAAGACUCCAAGACCGAUCGUUUGCUCAUGUGCUGGUGGGCCUUCACCGGUCUCGCUCACAUAAUGGAGGGAACCUAUGCCUUCGCGAGCUCAUGAGAAGAAGGUUAAAGUCCUCUUCAGCAAUCAAAACCCCUCUUUCUCCGAUGAAGUUUGGAAAGAGUACAGCAAAGGCGACUCCAGAUAUGUCGCCAGAGACCCAGCAACCGUUACAGUUGAAGCAAUUACAGCCGUGUUGGAAGGCCCUGGUUUACUCCUUUCUGUCUAUGCCAUCGCACGCCAGAAGUCUGACAGCCAUAUCCUCCAGUUCACUGUCUGUCUUGGUCAUCUCUAGGAAUAAGUUCACCGGAGGUCCCUCAACUUAACAGCGAAAUUUUUUGAGGCCCCUUAACCACAAAACCAGAAAUGUUUACCCCUGAACUUACUCAAACCGUUCACCGGAGGUCCCUCGGCAGUAUUUUUGCCCGGUUUUGCUGACAUGGCAUCCUAGUCAGCAAAAAAAAAUUAAAAAGGUACGUGAGGCCCAUAUGUCAGCUGCACAUAUUUUUUUCUUCUCUUUUCUUCUUCUCUUCUCUUUUCUCUUCUCUCCUCUCUCUUCUCCUUCAGGCUGGCGGCGGGCGCAGCCGCGAUGGCUGAGCGCGGCAGCAGAGCGGUGGCGGGCUGUGGGCGGAGCGGACGGCGGGCGAGCCCGGCGGUGGAGCGGAGGCAGCGGAGGCUACGGGCGGAGCAGCCGCGUGCCGUGGCCGCCGUCGUCGUCGGCUCCCCAUCGUCGUCGUCGCCGUGGGCGAGGCUACACGGCGCGGCCGUUCGGCGGCAUCGGCCAGGCGUCGCAGUGGCCGUGCAUAGGUGGCUCGAAGUGCCGGCUGACGAUGCACCCCAGUCGCUCACGCUCCUCCUGUGCCGCGGCUGCGGCAGUGGUGGCGGCGGCAGCGUCGCCGGCCUGAUCCCAUGGUCCUCCCGGAUGCCCAGCUCGCGCAGCUGCAGCAGGAGCGUGUCCACGCUCGGCGUGCCAUCGGCGUCGUGGACGGUGGUCGGCGCGGGCGCGGUAACCCUCGUCGUCUUCGUUGACGUCGCGGUAGCACUUGACGUCGUAGCUCAUACGCAUAUAUUCCGGGUACAGACGGCCGCAUGUACAUGCGUCUUCGUACGAGCAUAUAUAUGCAUGCAUGGAGACGACCAGCUAUAGCCUAGCUAGCUUCUUGUUGGUUUGCCGCCCGAUAACAUGCAGACGUAUAUAUUAGCCAAGCAUGUGUAUAUGGCUGAGCACACUCACAUGUAUAUAUGCAAUUACGUGCAGCGGAGGAGCGCGGAUGCGGGGGUGCAGUGGAAGGCGAGCGCGGCGGAGGAGCGGCGGCGGGCGAGCGCAGCGGUGGGCAAAGCAGCGGAGGGCGAGUUAGGCGAAGCGGAAGACAGUGGAUGGGACGAGGAGCUCCCCCGUGCUCGGCCGCCACCACCGCCGUGCCCCCGCGGGUGGCCGACGAUGCUAGGAGAGGCACCACCGGCGGGGGAAGGGGAAGAGGCAGAGGAAGCGAUUGUUUCUUGGUCGCCGGCCGCCUCCCCCUCCCUCCCAAACUCGCUGGCCGCCGCGCUCGCUCGCCUCCGCUCCGCCGCCGCGCUCGCACUCCGCUACUCUGUCCGCGGCCUGCUCGCGCUCCACUGCUCGGCCCGCCGCCGCGCUCGCGCCUUCCGCUGCUCCGUUGCCGCGCUCGCCCUCCGCUACGCUGCCCGCAUCCGUGCUCGCCGCUCCGCUCCGCCGCCGGACGGCCGCGCCGCGUAGCCUCGCCCACGGCGACGACGACGGCGGCCACGGCGCGCGGCUGCUCCACCCGCAGCCUGAAGGAGAAGAGAAGAGAGAGAAAAGAAAAGAGAAGAGGAGAGAAGGAGAAGAAAAGAGGAGAAAAAAGAUGUGAA
Oryza sativa Japonica Group (Japanese rice) is the source of this 2129-nucleotide non-coding RNA. The record is from RefSeq and is a predicted model, not a curated record. Lineage: Eukaryota; Viridiplantae; Streptophyta; Magnoliopsida; Poales; Poaceae.